This is a long non-coding RNA of Rhododendron vialii, 1070 nucleotides long. RefSeq lists it as uncharacterized. The transcript has 2 exons. The record is from RefSeq and is a predicted model, not a curated record. NCBI's taxonomy places the organism in Eukaryota, Viridiplantae, Streptophyta, Magnoliopsida, Ericales, Ericaceae.
AUUUUCAGGUAUGCAAAAAAGCUCAAAUUUCAUCUAAAUUGUAUACAAUUCAAAUUAUGCUAUCGAUUUCCUCAGUGUCACGUUACCUAAUUUAGUUCAGCAGAGGAAUGUUGCUAAGGUGUACUGCUUAAUUGAAAUUGCUUCCUGAGGCACGAUUGUAUUAUGAGCAAGAGAGAGAUGAUCUUUUGAUCAAUUUGAUCAUAGGGAGAGAUUUGAUUCCAUCAGAGAAUUUCAUGGGCGCUCAAGGGAGAGAAUGUUGGAGGCUUGGAUCCAAUUUGGGAGCUGAUGACCAAAGAGGUGGGGAUCUCCGAAACUAUCCUAUGUAACAUCGUAGGGUUAUUGAUUGUCACGAGUGACACGCUUCUUGUAAAGGAACAAUACUUAUUUUCUGGCAGACAGAAUCCGAGAAAUGCCUUGAAAACUAGGGAAUCCGUGGCUUUUUGGGAGAUUGAACUUUGAAGUGCGUAGUGACAGAGUUGGAUCAUUCAGCAAGUAUGGGAAUUUUUUACGUCCAAACAGGACCGGACAGCAAUAUGUGGAAAAAAGGCAGCCUAAACAGAAGUUUUUUUCAUCUGAAGUCUCUGGGAAACUAGUUUCAAGGAAGAAGAGAUCUACAGCGGAGAAGUGUAAUGUGUUUUCUGGGCCGAAAAACUCUUGAUGAAAUCAGAGAAGGGAAGAGAAAAGCCAAAGAGAGGGGCAAUACUUUCAGCAGGCCUGGGAAUUCAAGCAGAACGACAUCAGAAGAGUUUCAGGGUCCUAAACCCGAGUGAAAUCCUCAAGGAAAGAAAGAACCUCCCUUUGUAAUGUUACUUCUCUAGCUUUUUUCCUCCUAAGGAAAUUUGUAAGGUCUGUUAGCAGAGGUAAUAGAGUCCUGGGUUGGACAGCCUAUUUUAUUGGUAUAUAUAAAGACAUGGAAUGCUAAGAUGUCAAUUUUGAGUUUGAAAGUCAAAUUGCAACGUUGUCGAUUGAAUGAAUGAUUUGGCUUGCCUUCAUCUACAGAGUACCCUAUUAUUGUUGCUAAGGAUUUGUGCUACAUUGUCUUCUCUUUGAAAUAAUUAGGUUUCAGAUUA